This 555-nucleotide long non-coding RNA is filed under the name Macaca mulatta (Rhesus monkey). RNAcentral describes it as "lncRNA (ENSMMUG00000054723.1)". The record is from RNAcentral. Lineage: Eukaryota; Metazoa; Chordata; Mammalia; Primates; Cercopithecidae.
GUGGAGAUUGGGCUCAUGUCCUCCGCUGCAAUGGAGUUAGCCAAGGAGCGUGUGCAGAACGCUUGCCUUAUAGGCCAGCCAUAGAGAAGGAUGUCCCAGAUGCAGGCAAAGUUUUGUUCAUGUGUUCCUGGAGGAUUUUUCUUGUGACAAGCGCUUCUGCAUCCUCCAGCAUGUCAGGCCUGUGCACCAGGCUUCCUGUGCCCAUUGAUGGACUGAGAGGAAGAUGAGCCCUUAGGAUGCCUGCUAUGCUCACUGUUAAGAAGAUAGGUGCAGCUCACCUUGGAUUUGAAGGCUGACAGUACACCAUUAGGAGGCAUCUAAUGGACUACCUCAACAAUCCUCCACUGGCUCAAGGUUGCAUUGACUAGAUCUAGCUACCCUCUGACUGCCACCUGAUGGCCACUUGUGGCACUAUGUGGAUAAUGUCCUUGUGCCUGAUAACAAAGAGGGAGAGGUUCAAUGGGCCCUCAUAUUGACAACAAACCACACAACUCAAUGGGGAUGAGCCAUUGUCCCAUAUGAUACAACAGCCUGCCAUUUCCAUCAAAUUGUGGG